Long non-coding RNA from Alosa sapidissima (American shad), 3342 nucleotides. RefSeq lists it as uncharacterized. Lineage: Eukaryota; Metazoa; Chordata; Actinopteri; Clupeiformes; Clupeidae. The transcript is spliced from 3 exons. The record is from RefSeq and is a predicted model, not a curated record.
UGUGCAUUUUUUGACAUUAACGCGCUUAAUUUCAAAUAGGCCAAUCAGCGUACUGUAUGACUCCCGCCGGUUAACCAGAGCCUUUCCUUCAAGCUCAAGUCAGCACCAGCACAGCUCUUCCCUAACCUCCAACAAACUGAUGUGGUUGAGUCGGUCUUCACCGGAGGAGCUUAAUCAGCGGUCUGGAUUUUUAGGAAUUUGCCUCAGCCAGAAGAGGAAAUUGUGUUCACUUACCUAGGUAAGUCUCGUAAAUCAAGUCUUUAGUUGAAUUGGGUUAUUGAGAACGUUGCACAGUGCAGGGUUGUAACUUGCACUGCGGACAGCUAGCACUAGCGUGAACAUUGUUAAUAUACCCCGAAAGCUUUACGGCUAACUUGCCUACAUUAGACUUUUUCUGUAGCCUGGAAACAUGCAAUACAUAUUUAGAUGUGUUUAGGAAGACAGAUACACAAUUGUUUCAUUUACCCGGUUUGACUAUUUUUGGAAGCAGCCGGUAGAAUGCUAUAGCAGUAAAGUUAGCAUGUUAGUCUAUGAGCUGAAUGAAACCUGUGGUUAGCUAAUCGCGCUGUUCGCGUGUGGUUCACCUCGGUAUAUUUUACAAUUGAAGAUGUAUUCUUGUAACAUAUGUCGAGAAAACGUUAGGUCUGUGAAAGCAUAUGUUUUGCAUUACAAAUUGCACCGCAAUGAACCCAGAAUUAUUUUUAAAUGUGUUGGUACAAGCUGUAAGCAAGUGUUUUCAGGCUACACUGCUCUAAAGUCGCACUUCUAUCGCCACCACAACAAAACACCAACCGUUAACGUUAUUCAGGAUGUGACCAUAGUGCCAUUAAAAUGCACCGUCUCACUUUGUGACCGCCAGUGUGAUGGAACCAAACCGUUGAUUGCUCACUUAAAGGAACACAUCACAGAAGGGCGUCAGGUAGCUUGCCCGGUGAGAGGAUGCAAGAGUGUGUUCACAGGAAAAUCGUCUUUUACCUCUCACAUGUCCAGAAAACACAGACAUUGGUCAGAAAAUGUGAUUUGUACGUCAGUCCACGAUACACAAUGUGACAGUCCUACUGAUACAAAACAGGAACCUGCUAGUGUGCCUGAUGCUGAAGACACUGUAGGGGACGAGUCUAAUUUCAGUGACCUGUAUCUGAGAAAUAUGUGUAUGUUUUACAUGAAACUACAGGGACAGCAUCUCCUUCCAGUGUCUACCAUUCAAAACAUUGUUGAGGAAAUACAAAAUAUACAUGAGUUAGGACAGAGCUAUACGUUGAAUCAAAUAAAUGUGCUUCUAAAAGAUAUGUCAGUUUCAGAUGAAGAUAAAUCAUUGAUGCAAUUAAACAAUCUGACCUGUUUACAGCUUACCACAAAGGGCCUAUGAGAACUGCUUACUCACAAACGCAGUGCUUUAAAGAGAUGUUCAAAUAUGUGGAGCCCAAAAAAAUUUUGGUUUGCCAAAAUUAUGGCAAACCAAAUGGUUUGCCCAUUAUGUUCCUGUGCUAAAAACCUUAGAAGGUAUGCAGGAGUCCGGUUUUUGGCAGGGCCUUAUGUCAGUCGAUCAUUUUAAUGUUUCCAAAACAGAUGUUCUCUCUGACUGUUGUGAUGGUAAACUGUUCAUGUCGAACACAUUUUUUCAGGAAAACCCAAGUUGUCUGAAGUUGGUUUUAUACCAGGAUGCAUUCGAAGUUGUGAACCCGUUGGGCUCUGCUAAAAAGAAGCACAAGGUUUUGGCUGUGUACUUCUCUCUACUUAACAUGCCACCCCAUGUACGAUCAAAUGUUGACCACAUGCAGUUGGUUUUGUUGUGUAGAGAGAAGGAUUUUAAGGACUUUGGCCAUGCAAAGGUUUUUUCUGAACUGCUUACUGAUCUGAAAGAACUGGAGGUAAAUGGGAUAACAAUGAGAGAUGAACUUGUUUUAAAGGGAGCUCUCUAUUGCAUUGUUGGAGACAACCUGGGCUCUCACACCAUUGGUGGUUUCACAGAAAAUUUUAGUUCAUCUCAGUACUUCUGCAGAUAUUGUUUGAUUUCUCGAACUGAAUUUCAGGGUGCUGAUCCUAACAUCUGUGGACUGGAGCGGACUCCAGAAAAUUACAAAAUUAAAAAUAAAUGAAUUGAACAGCUGGAGAGAGAGGAUACUCCACAAGUUCAAGGGAUAAAGUUUAGUAUUUCAUCAAAAAGAAGAAAUGGUUCACGUGCACAAUUUUGAACAGGAGAAUCAAGCAGUUCAAAUAUAAAGCAACAGACGCUUGCUCCAAACCUUGUGAGAUAUGGCUGAAUCAGAGGAUACGCAAUGCUGUAACAGCAGUGCUUCCUGAACUUCCUGAUGAAGUUGUCAAGUCAGUUGAAGAUACUUUGAAGGCACUUGGUGCAGUAACGACAGAUGAUUUACAGUACAUUACCGAGGGAGACUUGCUGCCAGUAUUAAAGCCCAUACAAGCCAGAAGAUUAGUUGCUGCCUGGGCCCCAAACCGUGAGUGUAAAACAUAAAACAUUGCCACAACAUUGCACACUUCUCUUAUAGCAAGCACUUACAUAUUUUUUUAAUAUACAUAAUCAUUUCUGAAAAGGAUUAUGGGUAAUGAGGGAUGCUGUUCUUAGUUUCCGGUAGCAACCUCUACAGGGUGUCCAGUCAGAACACGGAAACCAGAUUGUUGUUCGAAGAGUUAUUUUCUUUAUUAAUGCUUCACACCCACAACACAGAAUAACGAUUGUUUAGUUGAAUGAGAGCAUGGAGUAAUAUGGAAUGUAUAGGACUGGGUAUGUUUGUGUGUGGUUCUGAAAUAAAGCAACAAUGCCUGUCAAGUCAAUGUCCUAUGAAAUAGGCAGUUAACAUAGCUAACCUGACACCUUAACCUGUUACGCUAAUAAGCAGCCUGACGCUAAUGUGGCUAACAAUGAAACAAAUAAGAAAGCUAGCAUAUUAGCAAACUAGCAUGUAUUAGCAUAAACAUUAGCACUGACAAACUAGCAGACUUUAGAGAAUAAGCUAAGUCACAGUGAAUUAAUAACUUAAUAAUUAAUCACUGUGAAUCUAAUGAACAAAUGUAAUGUUAGAGCUAGAAAUAUGCAUCAAGUUAUUGGUAUCAACUCACCAUUAGAUGCACGCACACCAAAUAACUUAACACGAUCUGAGUAGACAACCUGCUGCUGCAGUCUUGCCCUUCACUGGUGGGAAUGACCCUGAAAAGGAGGGUCCUAAACCGUGCUUCAGCCUUUAUACUAUCAAUAGGUGGCCAACUAAGUGCCUGAUCAAAUAAUAAUAGGACCUAUUAACUGAAAUAGAAUAACAAUGCCUGACAAAAUACAAGAGCAAUGAAACAAAACAAACAGAACUGAUUUAAUACACAGCACAG